AUUAAAUUCAAUUAAAGAAGAAAAAUUAGAAACAAAUAGAAAGGGGCUUUUUCUUGGAUCUGAAUCUGCAUAGGAGGAGAAAAAUCGAAGGUGAUCGGCACCACGCUUGCAGGUAAGCCUAACCCGAUUUCCUCCUUCUUUCUUUUCUGUUUCCUUGAAUCUGGGGAAUCUUUUCCAGCCGUGGAAAUUGCUUGGGGACUUAUGGUUCUUCAUCCAAGUGAAAAGGUUUCGGUUUGAUCUGGACGAAGGUGUCCGAAUUUGUUAGAACACAUUUCGGCUCUGUUUUUAGCUGGCAUUUGAUCAGAAUUCUUUGAAAUCCUUGGUGAAUUUGUGUUGCAACCACUGCUGCGUCACAACCGUAAAUAUAAUUAUGCGAAAGAAGUUUUUUGUUUGUGCAAAUUCACCAAUUUUCUAGGUAUUGGUGAGAAUAAAAGAAGAAAUGGUGUUUGGUAGAAUUGCGGACGCUAUUUCCGCUGCAUCAAGCCGUUUGUCGGCCCCACAGUCUUCUUCUUCUUCUUCGUUGUCUUCCUUCUCUUCUACUGCUCCCUAUGCGUCGGUCGGAAUACCGCCUCAGGCGCCCUCUUCUAAUGUAUUUGGGUUCGGCAACAAUACUUACCACAAGAACAAUAUUAGAAUGUCUUCGUCUCUCCAGGAUUUCUCUGCUUAUAGUCCGCUUGAUCGUGAAGAAGUUAAUCUCGCCGCCCAUUUAAAGCAUCCGCAUCCUUUGCAGAGAGAUAAUGUCGGCUCUAGUUUCUCCAAAGAGAAGGGGUUGCCGGGAGGAACCCAGUCUAAGCGCAACAAGUGGUUGCGACUUCUCAUGCUUAUCCUCUGCCUCUUGUUGUUGGGUCUUCUAAUUUAUAUGAUUUGUGUGUAUGCUUAUUCUUACUGGUCUCAAGGAGCAUCCAAAUUCUACGUUGUGCUCGAUUGUGGAAGUACCGGAACUAGAGUUUAUGUUUAUCAAGCAACUGUUGUUCGCAACAAUGCCGGCACUCUUCCUUUUGUCUUGAGAUCAUUAAAUGAAGGUCUUCACAAGAAGCCUAGUUCGCAGAUCGGGCGUGCUUAUGAUCGAAUGGAGACCGAGCCUGGGUUUCAUAAGUUGGUGAACAAUCUAUCUGGCUUGAGAACUGCGAUUAGACCACUUGUUCGGUGGGCAGAGAAGCAAAUCCCCAAGCAUGCACAUAAGACCACCUCUCUCUUCGUUUAUGCUACGGCUGGGGUUCGCAGGCUGCCGGCAGCUGACUCAAAUUGGCUUUUAGAAAAUGUAUGGUCCAUACUCAAAACCUCAUCUUUUCUGUGCCAAAGAGACUGGGUUAAAAUUAUCAGUGGCCCAGAGGAAGCUUAUUAUGGAUGGAUAGCCCUUAACCAUCGCACAGGUAUGUUAGGGGCCCGACCAAGAGAGCGGACGUUUGGUGCUCUUGACUUGGGUGGCUCGUCCUUGCAGGUUACAUUUGAAAGCAAGGAAAACGUACAUAAUAAGACUAGCUUAAAACUUAGAAUAGGAGCUGUUAACCAUCAUCUCACCGCCUAUUCUCUCUCGGGCUAUGGUUUAAAUGAUGCCUUUGACAAGUCCGUGGUCCAACUUUUUAAGAGGGUUCCAGAAAUCACCAAGGGAGAUGCAAUCAAUGGAAAAAUAGAACUAAAGCAUCCUUGCUUGCAUUCUGGGUACAAGGAGCAAUAUAACUGUUCUCAAUGUGUUUUGGAUUACCAGGAAGGUCGGAGCCCCGUGAUUGUAGGAAAACAUUUGGGUAAAGGUCAAAAGUCGGGCAUUGCUGCACAGCUGGUUGGUGCUCCGAAUUGGGAGGAAUGCAGUGCGCUGGCAAAGGUUGCUGUUAAUUUGUCUGAAUGGUCAAAUAAAAACGUGGGACUUGACUGUGAUGUGCAGCCUUGUGCUCUUCCUGAUGGUUUUCCUCGCCCCAUUGGCCCGUUCUAUGGAAUGUCUGGAUUUUUUGUGGUGUAUCGGUUUUUUAAUUUGUCUUCAGAAGCCACAUUAGAUGAUGUAUUGGAAAAGGGUCGCCAAUUUUGUGAAAAAACUUGGGACGUUGCAAGAAAGAGCGUUGCACCUCAGCCCUUUAUUGAACAGUACUGCUUUAGGGCACCAUAUAUUGUGUCACUGUUGAGAGAGGGCUUGCAUAUCACAGAUAGCCAAAUCAUUAUUGGUUCUGGAAGUAUUACUUGGACUCUUGGAGUUGCCUUGUCAGAAGCUGGGAAAGUAUUUUCAUCUAGGAUGUGGCUUAACGGUUAUGAAAUACUCCAGAUGAAGAUAAACCCUACAGUCCUUAUUUCCAUUUUGUUUAUUUCUUUGGUUCUCCUAGUUUGUGCGUUAUCAUUUAUUGGCAAUGGUAUGCCAAGAUUUUUCCGGAGGUCAUAUCUCCCUCUUUUCAGGCAUAAUAGUGCACAGAACACAUCUGUUCUUAAUAUCCCAUCUCCUUUCAGAUUGCAGCGUUGGAGUCCUAUCAGUUCUGGGGAUGGAAGAGUGAAGAUGCCACUGAGUCCAACUGCCCAAGAAAGACCAUUUGGUUUUGGACAUGGCCUCAACAGCAGCAGCAGCAGCAGCAGCAUCCAGCUCAUGGAGUCUUCCUUAUACUCAUCGACUAGCAGUGUUUCACAUAGUUACUCCUCAAAUAGUUUGGGGCAGAUGCAAUUUGAUGGCAGUAGCAUGGCUCCCUUCUGGUCCCCCCACAGAGGCCAGAUGCGUCUUCAAAGUCGGAGAUCACAAUCACGAGAAGACCUUAAUUCUUCACUAGCUGAGGCGCACAUGGUGAAGGUCUAGGGCAUACUUUACCCUUAAUCUGGGAAAAAAUCUGUCAAUUGAGCUGUUUAUCAGAAAGUAAAAGUCAAAAUAAAGUCUCCGUUUUUCUAGUAAGUAAAAGUCAAAAUAAAAUCUCAAUGCUGGUGUCGGUAAAUGAUGACAUUUCUGCCUCCUCAGACAACUUAUUUAGUUUUGGGAGCCCUCUCAUAAAAUUUUAACUGCAGAAAUAAAAAGGAAACAAAUUAUUUAUUUAUUUUUAUUUUUUUAAUGACGGGGAACCACCCCACAGUAGAGCCCUUAGGACUCACCUAUGGAACCUAAAUCCCCGGGGAGACUAGCACAGCAAUCCACCGCCAGGCGCCAUGGGCUCCCACUUAAAGCACAUGUUUGAUCCUAGGGAGAAUCGAACCUGUGACAUGGGGCACUUGCACGCAAGUUCGCCCUUACCACUUGGGCUACUCACGGCAUGUAUCGGUUUUUGUCAAGGAUGAUUGUGGGGCUAAGGUUUGGAUGGGCUGGCCUGGCUACUGGUUCCAACUGAUUCUGCAGGGCAGUGAUUUUAUCACAUUUUAACAGGAUUCUUUCGCAAAUUACCCAGUCUAAACAAGCUUGCCUUGAGGUUCCAAUUAAGGUUUUAUCACCCUUCUUCAAUGGUUAUCUUAUCACUCCAUGGUCUGCCACUCCUAUCAGUCAAGAUCUGAAGCCUAUCCACAAUUUUCAAGCAUGAACUGUUCCUCAGGGCAAGCCAUUGACAACUAUUAGAGUAGACUAGAGUUAGCUGUUACUUAUUACUCCCUCCCUCCUUUGUUUAGCUUUUGUUAAGACGAAUUGAUUGAUUGAAGAGAUAAAUACUGGGAAGAGGAUAUACACAAAUCACCUUUUAUACAUGAAAUAUAUAUGUUCGUUCAUUCUCAUUA
Molecule: RNA transcript, 3666 nt
Organism: Carya illinoinensis
Lineage: Eukaryota; Viridiplantae; Streptophyta; Magnoliopsida; Fagales; Juglandaceae
Gene name: probable apyrase 7
Exons: 4
Source: RefSeq, a predicted model, not a curated record